Molecule: long non-coding RNA, 362 nt
Organism: Gasterosteus aculeatus aculeatus (three-spined stickleback)
Lineage: Eukaryota; Metazoa; Chordata; Actinopteri; Perciformes; Gasterosteidae
Source: Ensembl
GGGAGGAUUCAUGGGGCCACAAACUUGAAAAGGCAUAGGAUCAGUUGGGAGGCACAAUAUGGUCGAAGAGAUAAAGGUGUCAGCUGUCCAAUGACUCCUCCUGUCCUCCUAACUGUUGUGUGGAGCAAUGGUGAAGGGUCAAUAGAUUUAUGGUUUUGCAAGGCAUCGUUAGUGACCACACGGAUCAGGGGGUGCGGCUGGCUGUUGGCGGCAACUGGACGAGGCACACCUGCAUUCAAUCAUCCUCCUCCAUAUAAACCUGGGCGUCUCAUCACGUCGACACCAGAUUAUUCCGUCCACUACGAACUCUCGCGUGCGUCAUCGCCCGGCUCUUCGUCCUGCCCGUUGCCAGGAUCCUCGCC